ACGAACGCUGGCGGCAGGCUUCACACAUGCAAGUCGAACGCCCCGCAAGGGGAGUGGCAGACGGGUGAGUAACGCGUGGGAACAUACCCUUUUCUACGGAAUAGCUCUGGGAAACUGGAAUUAAUACCGUAUACGCCCUACGGGGGAAAGAUUUAUCGGGGAAGGAUUGGCCCGCGUUGGAUUAGCUAGUUGGUGGGGUAAAGGCCUACCAAGGCGACGAUCCAUAGCUGGUCUGAGAGGAUGAUCAGCCACAUUGGGACUGAGACACGGCCCAAACUCCUACGGGAGGCAGCAGUGGGGAAUAUUGGACAAUGGGCGCAAGCCUGAUCCAGCCAUGCCGCGUGAGUGAUGAAGGCCUUAGGGUUGUAAAGCUCUUUCACCGAUGAAGAUAAUGACGGUAGUCGGAGAAGAAGCCCCGGCUAACUUCGUG
Molecule: ribosomal RNA, 430 nt
Filed under: uncultured bacterium
Lineage: Bacteria
Description: partial 16S ribosomal RNA
Rfam family: Bacterial small subunit ribosomal RNA
Source: RNAcentral